UUUGGGUUUUUUUAAAAAUUAUAGUGAAGAAAUCAUUUAAAUAUAAAAAUAAGGUAAAAAAAAUGUAUAAAAAGUGGAAAUCAAAAAUUUUAUAUAAUUUAUUGUGUGUUAGUAAAAUUAGUAUUUGGAUAUAAAAGGGAUAAGGGAUGAUUUUACUACUUAGUCUGAAUCUAAAUAAAACCUUAGGGCCCGUUUGGUUCAAGUUAUGUAAUAUUACAAAGUAUUUCGACAUAUCCAGGUAUCUCGGAUUUCGCUGUGAGAUUAGUACUGAUGCUGCAUUAGCGUGUUUGGUUUAAUGCAGUAAUGUAAUACUAGAUUACAGUGUUUAUAGCAUUAAUACGUUUGGUUCAGUUUAAAAAAUUUAGUAAUCCUGACAUAAAAUUAUAGUUUUUUUCAAAAUUGUCUUUGUUGUGGUUAUUUAAAUAUUAUUUUUUGCGAAAAUGACGAAUGGAGGGAAGGAGAUCGUGAUGAUUACUUGGGAGAAUGACGCAAUAGAAGAUGAUAAGUGUUCAUGCGCGAGAGAGAGAGAGAGAGAGAGAGAGAGAGAGACAUCGAGAGAGAGAGAGCGAGAGAAAGCGGCGUGGGAGAUAAAGGGGGGAAGGCGAGAGAGAGAGAGGAAAAUAAUGCUGUUAAUUAGAUUUGGGGUUGUUGGAGGAUAAAAUUGUCAUUUUACAUAAUAUAUAUUAUUAACGGAUUUCAGUAAUGCAAGAUACAAGACCUCCCUCCCAUUAAUAUUUUCGAUGUAAUCCUGCUCGAUUUGUAAUUCUACAUUAACGACUAAAUUACAUAGCGGAUUAACCAAACACAGUUAUCCUGGCAGAAUUGCCUGUAAUCCUACCAAAACAACUCGAAUCAAACACACCCUUAGUGUCAUGUAAUUUUAUUUUAGGAACGCU
This 896-nucleotide long non-coding RNA is filed under the name Ananas comosus (pineapple). RNAcentral describes it as "long non-coding RNA (ACOM_LNC044153)". The record is from RNAcentral. Lineage: Eukaryota; Viridiplantae; Streptophyta; Magnoliopsida; Poales; Bromeliaceae.